UAGAAUUGUUGGAACUAGAUAAUUCAUCACUCUGUGGCCAAGAUGAGCCUCCCACCAUUUCUGGAAGCUGGAACUAGGACAAGGAACAGAUAGCCAUUAAAUUCAACUUUACCAACUUGAAUCGCCCAAUCCACAGAUGAAGUGGGGGAAAGCAGUGGCGAGAACGGAGUUGCAGGUGCAAUGUUGGUCAGAACAAGAGAGAAGAGAACUCUUUCACAUGCCUGUCUUCAGCUUGCUACACUAGAGACUUUAAGGAACUUUCCAUUGGGUGAAAUCUAGGAGUCUCUCUUCUGGUUGAACUGAGUUACCUCAUUCCACAAGAGAUCUCCCUCACACAAUAUUGCCUGGUAUGUAUACUCUUAUGUACACCCUCUAUUUUGCCACUGUUGUGGUUGCCAUUUGACUUGGAUAAAUAUGUUUCUUUCUUACCUGCUAUGUGUUUUCAUUGUGUAACUGUUAUUUGAUGGGAAUUUAGUCAAGCCUUGGAUAUUAAACAUGGAGUCCUACUUCUCCAAUU
RNAcentral lists this long non-coding RNA (517 nucleotides) under Monodelphis domestica (gray short-tailed opossum). RNAcentral describes it as "lncRNA (ENSMODG00000033890.2)". Lineage: Eukaryota; Metazoa; Chordata; Mammalia; Didelphimorphia; Didelphidae. The record is from RNAcentral.